Molecule: long non-coding RNA, 9899 nt
Organism: Rosa rugosa (rugosa rose)
Lineage: Eukaryota; Viridiplantae; Streptophyta; Magnoliopsida; Rosales; Rosaceae
Exons: 3
Source: RefSeq, a predicted model, not a curated record
ACUCGCCCGCAUACCGCUCCUCCAAAGGAGUAAAUGGAGGUACAAGUCUAGGCUGAAAGACUUUAAACAUUAAGCGCUGCAUGGGAGGCAACCCAUUUCAACCGUAGCUGUGGAGGAGCCAUCAACGCAGAUUUGCUCUCUUAAACUCUAUCUCCUCUAUUACUAUUUUCUGAUUGUAUCUUUGUUAUUUGCGUUUUUAGUUUUUAUUUUUAGGUUUUCUUGAGUUAAUCAUUCCAUUCACAUGAUAAUUGUUCAUUGCAUGCUCUAACUUGUUUAACAUUGAGGACAAUGUAUGAUUUAAGUGUGGGGGGAAGGAUUAAUGCUUGUAGUUAGUUUUUGUCAUAAAAAGAAAACAAAACAAAAAAAUCGAAAAAUGUCAGAAAUAUAAAAAAUUUUCGUUGCUUUUGUUUUUGUUUUGAGUCUUAGGAUGCCUUUCAACUGUCUGGGAUGAUUCUAUAUCUCUGAAAUCAUGACUAAAAGAGGAUCACAACAUUGAGAUGAUUUUAAACAUGGUAUUCUUUGGUUAAUUGAGAUAUAUGAAAAAUGUGUGCCUUGUAGUGGAUAUGGAUUGCAUGACCUUGGUACAGAAUAUGAGCAUGUUAAGAUGAGUUGUGAUUCAUAAAGCCAUGUGAGAUAAUUGAACCAUGUCCCUUUUUCUUGGAGUGAAAUGAAAAAUAUAUUCUUAAUUUCUUGGCGAUGUUUUGAUGAUCUCAUUAUUCUUUCAUCUUGAUUGACUGCUUGCCAUAGAUUAAGUUUAAUGGACUAGAGAAUGCUAGAAUUCGCUCUUGUGCUUGUUGAGACGUGAUAUCAAUACAUGGCCCUGAUUCUGGAAGGGAUAGAGGUUCUCUAGGAAUUACCACCAUUGCCAAAUAAACUUGUGUCCCCAUUUGUGCCCGUCGUGGGACCCCCCUAGAUAAGCCCCUUUGAGCCUACAUUAAGCCUUUUCGUUCAUCACCCUUAAAAUCCUUAACCAUGAAGCUUAGUAUAGUUACAACCCUACCCUUUGUUCUAAGGACUUAGUGGAGCUAUCUUUUGAGACAUACUACAUGGGUUUGGUGCUAAGGAUGAAGAUUGAGAAGAUGUGAAAGUUCAAGUGUGGGGAUAGACUUGUCCAUAAAGAAAAAGAUAUGUUGAAGCCGUGAAAAAUGAAAAGAAAAGAGAAAAAUUGUGUACGGCUAAAAAGAAAAAAAGAAAAAAAAAAAUAUAUGUUUAUGGACUUUCAUCCCCCAUACUUAGUGAUUUUGGAGUUUGCUUUGAAUUGAAGGCCCACUACAGAAAAAUUUGGCCUUUGUCCAUUUCACUAGAGUUCAAGGGAAGUUUAUAUUGAAGAUUGGGCCCAACAUGAAGACAUUUGGCCCUCUUAUAUUACCUCUAUGGAGAAGUGACGUUUUUGCAAUGCCUUGGUGAAAUAUUUCGAGAUCUCUACAUUCAUAUGAGCUCUACUAGGUUUUUAGGACACUUUGAUAAUCCUUACCUUUCAUUUCUUUAAACCUUGAGCCUUAGCCCCAUUACAACCUUUGAGAGGACCUUCUUGAUCCUUAAGAUGGGACAGCCUUUGAUGUGGAGAUGAGUUACAAGAGUUGAACCUAUGGCUUGGGUCCAUUCGUGCAAGUAGUUGAUAUCCUUCAUGAGAUCUUUUGAAAAAAUUUAUAUUCACAAAGUGCUUUUCGUUUCUUAUAUAUGUGAGCUAUUUGACUGCCUUAAAAUAUGUUCUCUCACAUAUAAAUGAGUGAUUAUAAGCUUUUAAGCAUUGCCUUGAUCUGAGAGAAGAAAGAGUGGAUAUACCUUGUGAGGAUAUGAAUCAUACUUGUCUGAAGCAUGCUAAGCUAAACCCCAAUCACCAUUAUUACAACCAAGUCCUACUUGUGUAUGUGUGGAUCAUAUGUUUUAAUUAACUCUCGAAUGCUUAACAUUGAUUCUUGAUUGAGUGCUAAUCUUGGUGUUGUGAAAGUAUGAGAUUUCUGAGACAAUAUGUUAAAGGGCAAUAGAGGUCUUUGUAAUGUCAACAUCUUGGUCUUUGUCUUUGAAUUUACUCUUUUAUGUGUGACGUUUUUUUUUUUUCUUUGUGUUUUGCUUUGUGUUUUACGUUUUUGGUUUCUUUGAGUCUUUGUGUUUUUGUUUCCAUACUUAGUCAUUUUUUUUCGUUGGUUUCUUUGUUUUGUGUCAUAGUCUUUUUGGUUUGUUAGUUUUUGAUUUUGCUAAGGGACUAGCAAAAGCUAAGUGUGGGGGAAUUUGAUAGGAGCAUUUUAAAGUGGUAUUUUAAUAGUUAAUUCCUCACAUUUUGCUUAGUUAAUUCCUUAACGAAUCGAUUUUUAACUCAAUUUCUAUUUUCUUAGGUACAUUAGAGUAAAUGAUGGUGAAAUGAGCAUUAGGUCCACACUUACCUAUAAAUGGUGGAGAAAAAUGGAAAUGUACUAAAAUGUCAAUUUUACACAUUUUCCUACUCCGGCUAGGAAAAACCAAGCCAAGCAAGGAAGAAGGAGCGGCCGCCGGACCAAAUGAACUUCAAAUGAGCUGAAACUUUCCAGAUCCAUUCUAGACAUCCUAAGGAUCGUUUCUUAUGAAGAGUGCCAGAGCUAGAAUUGAGCGGAAGGCCUUCAAACAGUCAGCCCAAUUUCCUGCAGAAGCAAAACUGGAAAACUGGACCUGUAAGAGGUCCAGCAGCAUUUUCGGCCCAACCACAUGGAAUAAAAAUAUGAAAUUUUACCAGGGUGAUCUACACUCAUAAUGGAACAUUUUUUAUGAAGAGGUCAUAGUGAAAUUGGGAAUGCUUGUUGGAGAAAUAAUUGAAGGAAUAAAGGGGCAGAAACUGAUCUAAAAACAGCUCAACACCACAUGUUCAUGUUUCCUACCCACAUGAAGAAAGCUAGAUGCUUUUCCCUUUUUCCUUGGAUAUAUUUUUCUGCUCCAAUAGAUCAUCAUCACUUCCAUACUUCUACACCUUCAUGCCUUGCUUUCAUUUCAUCAUUACUCCAUCUUUUCCAUAUUUUACAAACCACUUUCAUUAUUUUUCUUCCAUUUAUCAUUUCACUCUUCUUUUUCUUCCCUAUAUAAACACCUUCUCCUCUCACUCUAAAAAAAGAUUCCUUCAUCCAUUUCAUCUUCUUUGUCUCUCCAUUUCCAUUCCAUUUUUCUCUCCAUUCUCUAGUUGCAAAAUUCUGCGUUUUCAAGUAAGAAGAAGAAGAAGAAGAAGGAGCCGGGAAUAUCAUAUCCUCCAUCGUCCACCUUGAAGGCUUGCUUCCAAGAUUCAAGAUUUCAACGUUUCAAGCACUCCAUCUCCAUCUCCAUCUCCAACUCACGGUGUACCGUCUGGCUGCAAGACGUAAAAUACAAGCGCUGCUUGGGAGGCAACCCAAUUCAGAAUAUAAUCAGAUUUGCUUUCUCUUCCCCUUUUACUCCUCCAUUUUCUUUUUGUUUUAGUAGUUAUUUUCGUAAAUUCCAUCCCUAUAUGCUUACUUAUUUCAUUGCAUGCUUUUAAUUGAUUACAUUGAGGAUAAUGCAAUAUUUAAGUGUGGGGGAAGGGAUUUAUAUUUUUGUCUUUCAUUUUGAAUCCUAUAAAUAUUUUUGUCUUUCAUUUUGUGUCCUAUAAAUAUUUUUGAGUCCUAUAUUUUUUUUAAAAAAAUAAUAAUAAUAAUAAUAAAAAAUAAUAAAAAAAAAAUAAAAAAUAAAAUAAAAUAAAAUGCAUUCAUUCAGUCUUAUUAAAUUCAGCUUUUUACAAAAAAAAAAAAAUAAUAAUAAUAAUAAUAAUAAAAAAUUAAAAAAAAUAAUAAAUAAUAAUAAUAAAAAAAUAAAAAAAAUGCAUUCAUUUAGUCUUAUUAAUUUCAGCUAUUUACAAAAAAAAAAAAAAAAAAAAAAAAAAAAAAAAAAAAAAAUAAUAAUAAUAAUAAUAAUAAUAAUACUCUAUACUAAGCCAUGUCUGCAUCUCUGUAGGAGUUGAGGCUGAGCUCAAGGGAAAUGUGAGAGCCACCGCCAUAACCGCUACCUCCCUCGGAAGUAGUCUUCAUGAUGCCCAAGAUGUCCUCACCAUGCAUGGGGAACAAUGGAAGGGUUUCAAUCUCCUGGUGAUCUCCUCCUCGUUGUUGCAGGGAUGUUUGUCCUCCUGUUGUGCCAAAAGAGUUGUACUGGUAUUAGUGUUGAAGUGUGAGGAAGAAUAUGAAACAAAAUUUAAAUCAAGAAAUCCUUCAUUACCAGUAGAAUCGGUGGAACCAAAGUUGAGAUUAAUGGAUCUACCAUCAUCAGUAGAACUAGUGGACCCAAAAUUGAUGUCAAUGGAUCCACCAGCUGGCCCAAAAUUGAUGUCGAUGGAUCCACCAGCACCAGUAGAACCAGUGGACCCAAAAUUGAGAUCAAUGGAUCCACCAGUACCAGGAGAACUAGUUCCCAUGGGCACUUGAGCAGCCUGAUUGCACCUCUUCAUCUGCUUCUCUCGAGCCCUGACAUUCUGGAACCAAAAAUAAAUGUUCUUGCCCUCAACAUGUCCAUACUGGUUCAGCUGGAGACAGAUCUCGUGAAUAUGCUCUGUAGUUGGGCGCGUAACUCCCUUGUCGUAGUAAAGAUCCUUGAGGAUCCUUAUUUGAUCUGGAGUAGGAACCCACCUGGCACGGCUUCGCCAGAAAUCUGUGUUGGCACUACUCCCGGCUGCUUGGUUGUUUCCUCCAUCCUCGAUUUGUUGCUGGGUUUGUAGCUCCAUCAGUUGCAGAGUUCGUGGUUCCAUGGUGAUGGGUUGAGGGGAUGUGAAGAUCGAAGAGUAAAGUUGUCGAGUGUUUGAAGGAGUUGUUGUUAAAGGGAUUAAGGAUGAUGAUGGUGUGUUGGAGAUCUGAAAGUUCAGAGGAAAGAUGGGAUUGAAUCAACUAGAUGGGAGAGAAGAUCAGAAGAGAAGGAUUGAAUCGAAGAAGAAAUAUUUUGAGUUUUGAAAGAAGAGGAAAGCUGAAGAGUUGGGAGAGAGGGGCUGGAACUCAGGAGAGAUUUUCGUUCCUUUGGAGUGAACAGUUGCGCCCUCAGAAUGCACCUAUUUAUAGAGCGAGGUGAGCAGAUCUCCACCGUUGGAUGGACGAUUCCUGUGAUUCAUUCUACGCGUUGGAUUAAAGUCGCCCUGAAACCCGGAAAAGUUGUUGGCGCGUGGAGAGCGUGUAAGGGGACCGAGGGAAUCUCGAGGCGCUGUGGCAGACAGCUGUAGCCGAAAGCAGAUUUGACUGCCGUAAAUCACGGAAGGGAUAAGCCGUGACACAAGUGGGCCGUACUUGGGCCUGUCUCGGAUCAAGGCAUCACUGUAGCUGUGGGUGGAGGCCUGAUGGGCCGAGUUUCAGAAACAGUUUUGGACAUGAUGGGCCGAGUUUCUGAAACAGUUUUGGAUGAGUUGGGCUGGGUUUCUGCAACAGUCUUGGAUGUUUUGUGCCGAAUUGUUGAAACAGUUGAAACAGUUGGUUUAAAUAAAAGGAUUGGUAUGGAUAAUAACGUGAGCAGCUGUGCUCGAGUGGUUGAGUGUAAAGUUCGUGUACAAGAGGUCUGAGGUUCGAACCUCGCCUCUCGUUUAUUUUUAUUAUGUUCGUUUAUGACAUAAUAAGUAUAAAAUUUGUACACAUUAUAUUAAGCACAGCUUGUGCUCCAGUGGUUGGGGACAAAGGUUUCGUGCAGCAGGUUAAGGUUUCGAACCUUGCCUCCCCCGUUUUUUUUUAUUUAUGUCACUCCAUCAGAACCCUCCUCCGAAGGCUGAAACCAGCAAGAAGGCUGCCACUCGCCCGCAUACCGCUCCUCCAAAGGAGUAAAUGGAGGUACAAGUCUAGGCUGAAAGACUUUAAACAUUAAGCGCUGCAUGGGAGGCAACCCAUUUCAACCGUAGCUGUGGAGGAGCCAUCAACGCAGAUUUGCUCUCUUAAACUCUAUCUCCUCUAUUACUAUUUUCUGAUUGUAUCUUUGUUAUUUGCGUUUUUAGUUUUUGUUUUUAGGUUUUCUUGAGUUAAUCAUUCCAUUCACAUGAUAAUUGUUCAUUGCAUGCUCUAACUUGUUUAACAUUGAGGACAAUGUAUGAUUUAAGUGUGGGGGGAAGGAUUAAUGCUUGUAGUUAGUUUUUGUCAUAAAAAGAAAACAAAACAAAAAAAUCGAAAAAUGUCAGAAAUAUAAAAAAUUUUCGUUGCUUUUGUUUUUGUUUUGAGUCUUAGGAUGCCUUUCAACUGUCUGGGAUGAUUCUAUAUCUCUGAAAUCAUGACUAAAAGAGGAUCACAACAUUGAGAUGAUUUUAAACAUGGUAUUCUUUGGUUAAUUGAGAUAUAUGAAAAAUGUGUGCCUUGUAGUGGAUAUGGAUUGCAUGACCUUGGUACAGAAUAUGAGCAUGUUAAGAUGAGUUGUGAUUCAUAAAGCCAUGUGAGAUAAUUGAACCAUGUCCCUUUUUCUUGGAGUGAAAUGAAAAAUAUAUUCUUAAUUUCUUGGCGAUGUUUUGAUGAUCUCAUUAUUCUUUCAUCUUGAUUGACUGCUUGCCAUAGAUUAAGUUUAAUGGACUAGAGAAUGCUAGAAUUCGCUCUUGUGCUUGUUGAGACGUGAUAUCAAUACAUGGCCCUGAUUCUGGAAGGGAUAGAGGUUCUCUAGGAAUUACCACCAUUGCCAAAUAAACUUGUGUCCCCAUUUGUGCCCGUCGUGGGACCCCCCUAGAUAAGCCCCUUUGAGCCUACAUUAAGCCUUUUCGUUCAUCACCCUUAAAAUCCUUAACCAUGAAGCUUAGUAUAGUUACAACCCUACCCUUUGUUCUAAGGACUUAGUGGAGCUAUCUUUUGAGACAUACUACAUGGGUUUGGUGCUAAGGAUGAAGAUUGAGAAGAUGUGAAAGUUCAAGUGUGGGGAUAGACUUGUCCAUAAAGAAAAAGAUAUGUUGAAGCCGUGAAAAAUGAAAAGAAAAGAGAAAAAUUGUGUACGGCUAAAAAGAAAAAAAGAAAAAAAAAAAUAUAUGUUUAUGGACUUUCAUCCCCCAUACUUAGUGAUUUUGGAGUUUGCUUUGAAUUGAAGGCCCACUACAGAAAAAUUUGGCCUUUGUCCAUUUCACUAGAGUUCAAGGGAAGUUUAUAUUGAAGAUUGGGCCCAACAUGAAGACAUUUGGCCCUCUUAUAUUACCUCUAUGGAGAAGUGACGUUUUUGCAAUGCCUUGGUGAAAUAUUUCGAGAUCUCUACAUUCAUAUGAGCUCUACUAGGUUUUUAGGACACUUUGAUAAUCCUUACCUUUCAUUUCUUUAAACCUUGAGCCUUAGCCCCAUUACAACCUUUGAGAGGACCUUCUUGAUCCUUAAGAUGGGACAGCCUUUGAUGUGGAGAUGAGUUACAAGAGUUGAACCUAUGGCUUGGGUCCAUUCGUGCAAGUAGUUGAUAUCCUUCAUGAGAUCUUUUGAAAAAAUUUAUAUUCACAAAGUGCUUUUCGUUUCUUAUAUAUGUGAGCUAUUUGACUGCCUUAAAAUAUGUUCUCUCACAUAUAAAUGAGUGAUUAUAAGCUUUUAAGCAUUGCCUUGAUCUGAGAGAAGAAAGAGUGGAUAUACCUUGUGAGGAUAUGAAUCAUACUUGUCUGAAGCAUGCUAAGCUAAACCCCAAUCACCAUUAUUACAACCAAGUCCUACUUGUGUAUGUGUGGAUCAUAUGUUUUAAUUAACUCUCGAAUGCUUAACAUUGAUUCUUGAUUGAGUGCUAAUCUUGGUGUUGUGAAAGUAUGAGAUUUCUGAGACAAUAUGUUAAAGGGCAAUAGAGGUCUUUGUAAUGUCAACAUCUUGGUCUUUGUCUUUGAAUUUACUCUUUUAUGUGUGACGUUUUUUUUUUUUCUUUGUGUUUUGCUUUGUGUUUUACGUUUUUGGUUUCUUUGAGUCUUUGUGUUUUUGUUUCCAUACUUAGUCAUUUUUUUUCGUUGGUUUCUUUGUUUUGUGUCAUAGUCUUUUUGGUUUGUUAGUUUUUGAUUUUGCUAAGGGACUAGCAAAAGCUAAGUGUGGGGGAAUUUGAUAGGAGCAUUUUAAAGUGGUAUUUUAAUAGUUAAUUCCUCACAUUUUGCUUAGUUAAUUCCUUAACGAAUCGAUUUUUAACUCAAUUUCUAUUUUCUUAGGUACAUUAGAGUAAAUGAUGGUGAAAUGAGCAUUAGGUCCACACUUACCUAUAAAUGGUGGAGAAAAAUGGAAAUGUACUAAAAUGUCAAUUUUACACAUUUUCCUACUCCGGCUAGGAAAAACCAAGCCAAGCAAGGAAGAAGGAGCGGCCGCCGGACCAAAUGAACUUCAAAUGAGCUGAAACUUUCCAGAUCCAUUCUAGACAUCCUAAGGAUCGUUUCUUAUGAAGAGUGCCAGAGCUAGAAUUGAGCGGAAGGCCUUCAAACAGUCAGCCCAAUUUCCUGCAGAAGCAAAACUGGAAAACUGGACCUGUAAGAGGUCCAGCAGCAUUUUCGGCCCAACCACAUGGAAUAAAAAUAUGAAAUUUUACCAGGGUGAUCUACACUCAUAAUGGAACAUUUUUUAUGAAGAGGUCAUAGUGAAAUUGGGAAUGCUUGUUGGAGAAAUAAUUGAAGGAAUAAAGGGGCAGAAACUGAUCUAAAAACAGCUCAACACCACAUGUUCAUGUUUCCUACCCACAUGAAGAAAGCUAGAUGCUUUUCCCUUUUUCCUUGGAUAUAUUUUUCUGCUCCAAUAGAUCAUCAUCACUUCCAUACUUCUACACCUUCAUGCCUUGCUUUCAUUUCAUCAUUACUCCAUCUUUUCCAUAUUUUACAAACCACUUUCAUUAUUUUUCUUCCAUUUAUCAUUUCACUCUUCUUUUUCUUCCCUAUAUAAACACCUUCUCCUCUCACUCUAAAAAAAGAUUCCUUCAUCCAUUUCAUCUUCUUUGUCUCUCCAUUUCCAUUCCAUUUUUCUCUCCAUUCUCUAGUUGCAAAAUUCUGCGUUUUCAAGUAAGAAGAAGAAGAAGAAGAAGGAGCCGGGAAUAUCAUAUCCUCCAUCGUCCACCUUGAAGGCUUGCUUCCAAGAUUCAAGAUUUCAACGUUUCAAGCACUCCAUCUCCAUCUCCAUCUCCAACUCACGGUGUGUACCCUCAAUCCCCGGAAUAGAACGAUCCCUAUUUGCUUAUACUACUAACGAUGUUUUCAGGGUUAAAUUAUGCGCUUGCUUUGAGCGUAUAAAUUUUUGGCGCCGUUGCCGGGGAUUGAAAAAUCACUUGUUUUUGUUUAUAAUUGUUGUAUAUAAACUGUUUGAUACUUAGUUUAAAUUAACUAGGUUGUUUUUUUUUUAUUGUUGAAUACGAGUUUAAUUGUGAGUUGUAAAUUAAAGAAGGAAUAGGUGAAGUCGUGUUUAUUAAUAUUGGUCUAAACCCCUUAUUGGUACCUAGUUCAGGUCCCUUAAGGUUGAGGGCGGCCUUUAUUAACAUUCAUUGAACUGUCUAACACACUUAGGACCUUUUACAUCCUAGUAAGAAUAUCCUAUGUGAGAUGGUGUCUAGGAAGGGGAUAACGUUCAUGACGGGUUUUUGAAUCCAGAAGUGCUUAUAAAUGGGCUUAGCUCAUGCCAAAAUGGAUUUUUCCUCUCGUGUUCACCCUCCCCUACCUGGCCAUUUCAGUAAGGUUGCCCAACGGAUGUAGGAGGGACUUUGUGUCUAGACGACUAUACUUGGGCCGCACGUCCACUUGAUUUACCGCUUGGAAUUAUAUUUGAUAUCAAUAAUGUUUAUAACAAAAGAAAUACUUGUGCAUACUCUUUACGUGUAAAUUAUUUUGUCGUUUCACACUUUAUACUUGUAAAAAUACUUUUUACGUUUUAUACUCACUUGUGUACUUAACUUGUGUCUUAUGUACAAAAUACUUGUUAAUUAUACUUGUAGUUUGUAAUUCAUAGUUACUUGUUUAUUUUUUUUUUUGUAUUUCUUUGUUAAUAUUAAGUUACUAACUUUAUUUA